CCUACGGGUGGCUGCAGUGGGGAAUAUUGCACAAUGGGCGAAAGCCUGAUGCAGCGACGCCGCGUGAGUGAAGAAGUAUUUCGGUAUGUAAAGCUCUAUCAGCAGGGAAGAUAAUGACGGUACCUGACUAAGAAGCCCCGGCUAACUACGUGCCAGCAGCCGCGGUAAUACGUAGGGGGCAAGCGUUAUCCGGAUUUACUGGGUGUAAAGGGAGCGUAGACGGCAUGGCAAGUCUGAAGUGAAAACCCAGGGCUCAACCCUGGGACUGCUUUGGAAACUGUCAAGCUAGAGUGCAGGAGAGGUAAGUGGAAUUCCUAGUGUAGCGGUGAAAUGCGUAGAUAUUAGGAGGAACACCAGUGGCGAAGGCGGCUUACUGGACUGUAACUGACGUUGAGGCUCGAAAGCGUGGGGAGCAAACAGGAUUAGAUACCCUGGUAGUC
Molecule: ribosomal RNA, 440 nt
Filed under: uncultured Lachnospiraceae bacterium
Lineage: Bacteria; Bacillati; Bacillota; Clostridia; Lachnospirales; Lachnospiraceae
Description: bacterial SSU rRNA
Rfam family: Bacterial small subunit ribosomal RNA
Source: RNAcentral